Molecule: long non-coding RNA, 285 nt
Organism: Pyrgilauda ruficollis (rufous-necked snowfinch)
Lineage: Eukaryota; Metazoa; Chordata; Aves; Passeriformes; Passeridae
Exons: 3
Source: RefSeq, a predicted model, not a curated record
AGGAGACAGAGCUUCAGACACCCAGAUCUGCAGGAAGAAAAUGAGGUGAGUUGAGGAGGUUUGUACUCUGUGUAUCUGGAUAAAACUCUCAAGCUGCUUGUACACUCAUAUUUUACAAGAAUCACUGCUGGAAGACCCUGCAGCUGGCAUGUUUUGCAGGCAGAAAGGACAUCUAAGAAGUGUAAUGACUUCUUUAUUCCUGCAUUUCUGUGCUGCUGCGGAAUUAGACAGAGAAACUGAAGUUCUGUGACAAAGGAGAUCACUUUUAAAGAUGUCGCUUGAUUC